RNAcentral lists this ribosomal RNA (465 nucleotides) under Vreelandella stevensii. RNAcentral describes it as "partial 16S ribosomal RNA". It matches the Rfam family "Bacterial small subunit ribosomal RNA", at positions 338 to 795 of the family's 1533-position model. Lineage: Bacteria; Pseudomonadati; Pseudomonadota; Gammaproteobacteria; Oceanospirillales; Halomonadaceae. The record is from RNAcentral.
CCUACGGGAGGCAGCAGUGGGGAAUAUUGGACAAUGGGCGAAAGCCUGAUCCAGCCAUGCCGCGUGUGUGAAGAAGGCCUUCGGGUUGUAAAGCACUUUCAGUGGGGAAGAAAGCCUUGGGGCUAAUACCCUCGGGGAAGGACAUCACCCACAGAAGAAGCACCGGCUAACUCCGUGCCAGCAGCCGCGGUAAUACGGAGGGUGCGAGCGUUAAUCGGAAUUACUGGACGUAAAGCGCGCGUAGGCGGUCUGAUAAGCCGGUUGUGAAAGCCCCGGGCUCAACCUGGGAACGGCAUCCGGAACUGUCAGGCUAGAGUGCAGGAGAGGAAGGUAGAAUUCCCGGUGUAGCGGUGAAAUGCGUAGAGAUCGGGAGGAAUACCAGUGGCGAAGGCGGCCUUCUGGACUGACACUGACGCUGAGGUGCGAAAGCGUGGGUAGCAAACAGGAUUAGAUACCCGAGUAGUC